This 315-nucleotide unclassified non-coding RNA is filed under the name plant metagenome. RNAcentral's name for it is "partial contains 5.8S ribosomal RNA, internal transcribed spacer 2, and large subunit ribosomal RNA". The stretch from base 1 to 105 matches the Rfam family "5.8S ribosomal RNA", at positions 50 to 154 of the family's 154-position model. The record is from RNAcentral.
GAACUGCGAUAAGUAAUGUGAAUUGCAGAAUUCAGUGAAUCAUCGAGUCUUUGAACGCACAUUGCGCCCCCUGGCAUUCCGGGGGGCAUGCCUGUCCGAGCGUCAUUGCUGCCCUUCAAGCCCGGCUUGUGUGUUGGGUCGUCGUCCCCUCCGGGGGACGGGCCCGAAAGGCAGCGGCGGCACCGCGUCCGGUCCUCGAGCGUAUGGGGCUUUGUCACCCGCUCGAUAAGGACCGGCCGGGCGCCAGCCGGCGUCUCCAACCUUUUUUUCUCAGGUUGUCCUCGGAUCAGGUAGGGAUACCCGCUGAACUUAAGC